Molecule: long non-coding RNA, 3052 nt
Filed under: Taeniopygia guttata (zebra finch)
Lineage: Eukaryota; Metazoa; Chordata; Aves; Passeriformes; Estrildidae
Description: lncRNA (ENSTGUG00000023914.1)
Source: RNAcentral
UUCCUUUAAGGCAUGUCUGGAGCUGCCUUUCUCCAUUUGAAUGGUAGUUUAACAGGCAGGAAGUAUCAUGGAAAACCUAAAAUACAGAUAUGAUUGCCAACCAGGAAACUUUGGAAUUUGUGACACUGGAAAGAGUGAGAGACCACACAUGGGGUUGGAGAGAUGAAAGAAUCAGGUGAGAUUUAGAGUCUGGCAACAUGUAAAGCAUAGAUAGUCACAGCCUCUAAGCUAUGAUCCUGCUAAAGCAUGUUGAUUCCUUGUCACUCCUUAUCAUUUUAGUCUUACACCAUUAUAUUUACUCUUUCUCUUUUUCUUAGCUGUAGCGUAAUGGUCAUUACUGUAAUAUCCUAAGAAUACUCAGCAGAUAUGACUCACUGCAUGGCUCUUUGGAGAACACGGGUCCCAACAGUCUUCUCGCUGGUGAAGCACUGAGGCACUUCCCACGCAGCUGUCUGUCUGAUCUUUGUCCAUAAUGGCCUUCUGAUGGAUGUGUCUAGGGACACACAGACCUGCAGAGAAACCCAGGAAGGGACUGAAGAGAUGGGUGGUGCAUUAAGUAGGCCCUUUUGUUGAUGCAGUGGCCUGCUUUUAGAGUGUAUAGUCAACCCUGAAAAUAGAAAAGGGUUGUAAGGUCAAGUAAGAUAGAUUGUGGCCAUGCCAGCUGUCAGACAGUCUUCCAAGAUGUCUGUUAUUUAACCCUGAUAUUGAAUAUAUCAGGGGCUAAAACUGAUUAAAAAGCAUAUAAAAUGCCAUGGGCAAUUUAAUGGGGAAUAAAUAUGUAACAGCGACUUUCUCCUUUAUUUUUUGUAGCUUGCUCCUUAAUCACUCCAGUGACAAGAAACAUGUUUCAUCCUGCCCCUCAAAUGCUUUGCUCUACCAGACACCAUCUGCAUGAAUACGAUAUUCCCAAAGAAAUCUACUUACUGAGUGGUGUGAGGCAAGGAAACAGGAAUAUUAACAGAGAUGUGAAUGUUCAGCCAGCACAUAAACAUUGAUGGCUCCAGGAAAAAUGAUGGCAGAAAGGUUUGUUGUGCUGCAAAGAAAUAUUGUGGUACAUUGCACCUGUGAUAUAUCCACCCUAACAACGGAUGAGGAGAGAAGGAACAUUCAUGAUUUUGCAAUAAUGAGAUUGCUGAUCCACAACCUGCUGGCAAUUUCUGUACAGAGGAAAUAAAGUCAAAUAGAAUUGCCAAGGACCUCAUCUCCAUGCUGAUAACUGCGCAACUCCUCAGACACAUCCAUCCUCAGAUUACUCUUUCUGUUAUUAAAACUUUUAUUUUUAUGGCUAAAGUUGUGGUGAGUGGUCUUGUCCUCUGGGCAGUGAACUAUCUGUAGACUACACAUCUCCAUUUAUUUUGUCAGAUUUUAUGCAUUGGCAAUUUUUUUACUGACAAGACUCAGUCAAAUAUGAAAUUCAAACUGAUAGGUACCAAUUCUAAGAGAUUUUUUCCCUGUUUACCUUUAAUUGUUUUCUAAUUGAUACAAAUAACUAUGUGGAUGCUGCUUUAUAUCAAUUAGUCUCCAAAGAUUAGAGUCAGUUUAUACUGGAGUUAACCUACCACUGUCAAAUUGAAAUAGUGCUUAUACAAAGUCUCAUGACAGUAUAAAUUGGAUUUCAAUUGGAUUUUAAAUAAAUUGGUGCAUUUUCCUUUUGCAGACAAAUCUUUAUUUAAUAACACUACACAUGGUACACCAGAUAUGCAAAAAUUAACACUGAUGAGAUGUUGCAUAAAUGACCAGUGCUCACUGGUUUUCCUUGCUUGAGAGAUCAAGGGUUAAUCAAGGAAACAGGAGGAAGAGUGAAUCAUGCAGGGACUAGAAUGUCUUAUCAGCUGUGACCUGCUCAGCUGCUGAGACACGGAAGAAACAAGGAAGUGAUUUAUAGGUUAUGGCAGUUCAAGACUCACUCUUCAGGAUUUGUUGGAGAAUCAUGAUACUUUUCACCGUGCUCAUCUCUGUCUUGCAAUGCUCCUCAUUUGGGAACUUCCUAUUAGUGGGCUGUUUUCCAUUAGCAUGGCACAAGUUUCCCACUACAUACUGAAAAAAAAAAAAAAAAAAUCCCUUACCUGUCUAUGUCCAUACAGGUUUCUGUAAAUUAUACUGUUGCUAUGAACAAAUAUAUUUAACCCUAGCAAUUUGCAAGCGUACUGAUACAGAGCUAUUAAAGCACCAUUUAUAAGUUGAGAAGGCCUGUCUGCUACUAUUUACAAGUUUGUCUUCCAUUCAACUUCAGUAUUUAGCUUAGAAAUAGAUAGAAUAAAACAAAGUAAAGCAGAUAUGAGUAAGUCACAAGGACUGUGCUUGAUAUGGAGGUCUGUGUCUCUGGGAAAUAUAUUAUGAUGGAUAGUUACUUUUAUAAUCUUUUUGUAUGUCAUUUGAAUGUCAUAAAUAUCUGUCAGAUUUCCUAAAAAAAUAAGUCUUUCUUCAGACAUUACCAGAUACAGAGGAUAUCAUUCAGUUUUCUCACUGAAAGCAAGAAUAAUUUAAAUUGAUCUGUCUCUGCGAACAAUGACCACUGAAAAAGUCUAUAUACCAGGCAUUCUAGCCAGUCACCAAUAAAUGGCAUGUAAACUAAAAAAGAUAGUGUGAGACAUCUAAGUUCUUCUAAAGGUGAAUGUGUACUAUUUUAUUAGGUCUGUUAAAACCUUCAAUACAAAUAGGAAAAGUUAAUUACUUUGCUCUCAUUAUACUAUAUGUACCAUUGCAGUUUUCUUCUAAUCCAGCUUCCUACUCCUAACAACUCUUUAAAGAUAAGAUUCUAAAAGAAAAUAUUUGAUUAUUGAUGCUUCUAGCCAUUUAUUUAAAGACAAGCAUUAGAACUAUUGAAUUAUGCCACCUUCAAUAAAACCUGCAUCUGCAAGUUUAUGUGCUGUGCACUGAAGACAGAGUUUUCCUGGCUAUCAAACUGCCAGGCACACGACUGUCUGCAACCAGUUUCAGGCAAUUGCAGAGACAUUCAGAGAAUGGGUAUAUCUGUCCUAGGCACAACAUGAAACAGAUUAAUCAUAUUUACACACAUGACAUAGACAUGAAGACACUGCACAGAAAAAUU